Molecule: ribosomal RNA, 429 nt
Filed under: Chloroflexota bacterium
Lineage: Bacteria; Bacillati; Chloroflexota
Description: Chloroflexi bacterium partial 16S ribosomal RNA
Rfam family: Bacterial small subunit ribosomal RNA
Source: RNAcentral
UGGGGAAUAUUGCACAAUGGGCGCAAGCCUGAUGCAGCCAUGCCGCGUGUAUGAAGAAGGCCUUCGGGUUGUAAAGUACUUUCAGCGGGGAGGAAGGGAGUAAAGUUAAUACCUUUGCUCAUUGACGUUACCCGCAGAAGAAGCACCGGCUAACUCCGUGCCAGCAGCCGCGGUAAUACGGAGGGUGCAAGCGUUAAUCGGAAUUACUGGGCGUAAAGCGCACGCAGGCGGUUUGUUAAGUCAGAUGUGAAAUCCCCGGGCUCAACCCGGGAAACGGAUCUGAUACUGGUCAGCUAGAGUUUUGUAAAGGGGGGUAGAAUUCCAUGUGUAGCGGUGAAAUGCGUAGAGAUGUGGAGGAAUACCGGUGGCGAAGGCGGCCCCCUGGACGAAGACUGACGCUCAGGUGCGAAAGCGUGGGGAGCAAACAGG